GGCCGCCCCCGCCAGAGGACCCCUAACUCUGUUUUUAUAAUGUUUUUCUGAGUAAACAAGCAAAUAAAUUAAAACUUUCAACAACGGAUCUCUUGGCUCUGGCAUCGAUGAAGAACGCAGCGAAAUGCGAUAAGUAAUGUGAAUUGCAGAAUUCAGUGAAUCAUCGAAUCUUUGAACGCACAUUGCGCCCGCCAGUAUUCUGGCGGGCAUGCCUGUUCGAGCGUCAUUACAACCCUCAGGCCCCCGGGCCUGGCGUUGGGGAUCGGCAGAAGCCCCCUGUGGGCACACGCCGUCCCUCAAAUACAGUGGCGGUCCCGCCGCAGCUUCCAUUGCGUAGUAGCUAACACCUCGCAACUGGAGAGCGGCGCGGCCAUGCCGUAAAACACCCAACUUCUGAAUGUUGACCUCGAAUCAGGUAGGAAUACCCGCUGAACUUAAGCAUAUCA
RNAcentral lists this ribosomal RNA (446 nucleotides) under Fusarium solani. RNAcentral describes it as "eukaryotic LSU rRNA". The stretch from base 73 to 226 matches the Rfam family "5.8S ribosomal RNA". Lineage: Eukaryota; Fungi; Ascomycota; Sordariomycetes; Hypocreales; Nectriaceae. The record is from RNAcentral.